CCUACGGGAGGCAGCAGUGAGGAAUAUUGGUCAAUGGACGAGAGUCUGAACCAGCCAAGUAGCGUGAAGGAUGACUGCCCUAUGGGUUGUAAACUUCUUUUAUAAAGGAAUAAAACGAGGCACGUGUGCCUUUUUGCAUGUACUUUAUGAAUAAGGAUCGGCUAACUCCGUGCCAGCAGCCGCGGUAAUACGGAGGAUCCGAGCGUUAUCCGGAUUUAUUGGGUUUAAAGGGAGCGUAGAUGGGUUGUUAAGUCAGUUGUGAAAGUUUGCGGCUCAACCGUAAAAUUGCAAUUGAUACUGGCAGUCUAGAGUACAGUUGAGGUAGGCGGAAUUCGUGGUGUAGCGGUGAAAUGCUUAGAUAUCACGAAGAACCCCGAUUGCGAAGGCAGCUUCCUAAACUGUGACUGACAUUGAUGCUCGAAAGUGUGGGUAUCAAACAGGAUUAGAUACCCUUGUAGUC
RNAcentral lists this ribosomal RNA (460 nucleotides) under uncultured bacterium. RNAcentral's name for it is "partial 16S ribosomal RNA". It matches the Rfam family "Bacterial small subunit ribosomal RNA", at positions 338 to 795 of the family's 1533-position model. The record is from RNAcentral.